UGGGGCAUAGCUCAGCUGGGAGAGCACCUGCUUUGCAAGCAGGGGUCGUCGGUUCGAACUCCGUCUGCCUCCACCA
Molecule: transfer RNA, 76 nt
Filed under: Acetobacter aceti
Lineage: Bacteria; Pseudomonadati; Pseudomonadota; Alphaproteobacteria; Acetobacterales; Acetobacteraceae
Description: tRNA-Ala
Rfam family: tRNA
About the family: Transfer RNA (tRNA) molecules are approximately 80 nucleotides in length.
Source: RNAcentral